Molecule: ribosomal RNA, 119 nt
Filed under: Pteropus alecto (black flying fox)
Lineage: Eukaryota; Metazoa; Chordata; Mammalia; Chiroptera; Pteropodidae
Source: RNAcentral
GUCUGUGGCCAUGCAACCCUGAACAAGCUCGAUCUUGUCUGAUUUCAGAAGCUAAGCAGGGUCUGGCCUGGUUAGUACUUGAAUGGGAGAUCACCUAGGAAGACCAGAUGCUGUAGGCA